AACGCGAAGAACCUUACCGGGGCUUGACAUCCUGCGCUAUCUUAGGAGACUAAGUUUCCCAGCAAUGGGACGCAGAGACAGGUGCUGCAUGGCUGUCGUCAGCUCGUGCCGUGAGGUGUUGGGUUAAGUCCCGCAACGAGCGCAACCCUUGCCGUGUGUUGGUCCAAAAGAUCUCUCACGCGGGACCGCCGGUGACAAGCCGGAGGAAGGUGGGGAUGACGUCAAGUCAGCAUGGCCCUUACGUCCCGGGCUACACACGUGCUACAAUGGAACGGACAACGAGCUGCAAACCCGCGAGGGUAAGCUAAUCUCAUAAACCGUUUCUCAGUUCGGAUUGGAGGCUGCAACUCGCCUCCAUGAAGUCGGAAUCGCUAGUAACCGCAGAUCAGCUACGCUGCGGUGAAUACGUUCCCGGGCCUUGUA
This 423-nucleotide ribosomal RNA is filed under the name uncultured bacterium. Its description in RNAcentral is "bacterial SSU rRNA". It matches the Rfam family "Bacterial small subunit ribosomal RNA", at positions 958 to 1385 of the family's 1533-position model. The record is from RNAcentral.